This 252-nucleotide ribosomal RNA is filed under the name uncultured bacterium. RNAcentral describes it as "partial 16S ribosomal RNA". It matches the Rfam family "Bacterial small subunit ribosomal RNA", at positions 524 to 776 of the family's 1533-position model. The record is from RNAcentral.
UACGUAGGGGGCAAGCGUUGUCCGGAAUUAUUGGGCGUAAAGCGCGCGCAGGCGGCUGUUUAAGUCUGGUGUAUAAACCUGGGGCUCAACUCCGGGUCGCACUGGAAACUGGAUAGCUUGAGUGCAGAAGAGGAGAGUGGAAUUCCACGUGUAGCGGUGAAAUGCGUAGAUAUGUGGAGGAACACCAGGGGCGAAGGCGACUCUCGGGGCUGUAAUUGACCCUGAGGCGCGAAAGCGUGGGGAGCAAACAGG